This 149-nucleotide small RNA is filed under the name Acidithiobacillus thiooxidans ATCC 19377. Its description in RNAcentral is "sau-50". Lineage: Bacteria; Pseudomonadati; Pseudomonadota; Acidithiobacillia; Acidithiobacillales; Acidithiobacillaceae. The record is from RNAcentral.
UAAAUUUAGGUGUUCGGCUGGCGGCAAUCAUGAUUUCUGCACCUGUUGCAGGAUUCCGACCCUUACGCGCUUCGCGUUCAGAAACCAGGAAAGAACCAAAACCUACCAGCGUGACCUGAUCACCCUCUUUCAAGGCAGCAGUAACCACU